Molecule: ribosomal RNA, 449 nt
Filed under: uncultured bacterium
Lineage: Bacteria
Description: partial 16S ribosomal RNA
Rfam family: Bacterial small subunit ribosomal RNA
Source: RNAcentral
GUCGAGAAUCUUUCACAAUGGGGGCAACCCUGAUGGAGCGACGCCGCGUGGAGGAUAAGGUCUUCGGAUUGUAAACUCCUGUCAUGCGUGAACAAGGUUGCAGGGAUAAUACCUCUGCAAAUUGAUAGUAUCGCAAGAGGAAGAGACGGCUAACUCUGUGCCAGCAGCCGCGGUAAUACAGAGGUCUCAAGCGUUGUUUGGAAUCACUGGGCGUAAAGGGUGCGUAGGUGGCGUGGCAAGUCAGAUGUGAAAGCCCGGGGCUCAACCUCGGAACUGCAUCCGAUACUGCCAUGCUGGAGUACUGGAGAGGUGACUAGAAUUCUCGGUGUAGCAGUGAAAUGCGUAGAUAUCGAGAGGAAUACCAAAGGCGUAGGCAGGUCACUGGACAGUUACUGACACUGAGGCACGAAGGCCAGGGGAGCGAACGGGAUUAGAAACCCGUGUAGUCC